Non-coding RNA from Drosophila melanogaster (fruit fly), 7316 nucleotides. NCBI's taxonomy places the organism in Eukaryota, Metazoa, Arthropoda, Insecta, Diptera, Drosophilidae. The record is from Ensembl.
GGCGGAGAAUGAAAACGAAAGUGAAAGUGCAAAAGCGCAGCGCGCAAAAGUAUCUCAGGGAUACGAAAAGCUGGGGGAUGAAGAGGAGUCGAGUGGCUUCUGCUGCUUCUCAAGUGGCGUGGGUAGUUGUUGUCAAAGUAACGAUUGGGCUGUCAGGCUGUCAGGACUCGGGAUUCUGUCCGCUUUCCCGCCUUCUCAUCGUGGCGAGAACGCCUACCAUCCGGCCGUCGCUUCUGUCAGGAGUAAGUAAACUAAAAAGACAAAGGCCUCGCCUAAAAGUGUGCUACACAUAAAGAAAAUAGGGGGUGGUGGGUUGGCCCCUGGAGGGGUUGGUAUAUAAAGAAGCUGCCAGUGCCAUGUCUUCGGCUGCUGCUGCUUCUGCUGCCACUUUUCCUGCUUUUUGCGGCUGCCUUGCUGCUGCUGCUGCUGCUGCUGCUGCUGCUGCUGCUGCUGCGUCCUCAUCGUUUCUUGCCUCUGCGAAGAUGUUGCACGUUGCCGGGGCAAUACGGACUUUCGGCCACGAGUCCGCCUCAAUAAUGCAAAAACAACAGCAACUCGUCAGCACAAGCACAAGCAGCAACAACGGGCGAUUUUCGGGCAUUUUUGGGUUUCUACUUGCCACACGCAACUUUUGCUGCUCCCCUUGCCAUUUUCAGACGCCUCCCCCCCCCCCCCACAACUCCACACAGUACAAAGUUGGUUGGAAAAUUCGAAUGUCAGUUGUAAUAGCUUCGGCAUAUAAAUCAAUAAAAUGAUUGUACGCACCUUUGGGGCCCUUGCCCUUCUGCUUUCUGCUUUCACCCGCCGCCUGGCCACGCCCCCGCCCUCCUUUUUCCACCCCCACCCACAAACAUAGCCUCGUCCUCGUUGCUUGGCUUCCUUGCAGCUUCUGCUGCUCCUGGCAGUCGCUUCGCUGUGCUUGUGUGUGUGUGCGUUGUUAUUGCAACGUUGUUGCCGAAAAUAUUCACAAAAAGGGGUGGCACUGCGAGGGGUGCUUGGUAAGUUAUGAGAUUUCGAUUGUCAGCUGUUGAACUUCAUAUGUUUUGCCUAGCAAACAGAUCUUAGUACAAUUUUCUAUUAUUUGAUAUGUUAGUUGUAAUGUGGACAGUUUCCCAAACUUCAGUGACAGCCCUCGCUGGGCGAGCUGUGAGUUUCAGGUGCGCCUGCUUGUUGCUAUUCCUGCUGCUCCUGCCCCUGCCCAAAAAGUCCACCUCCGCCCGGGCCAUUUUGCUGACUGUUGAUGAUGAUAAUGGGCCUUCCCCUAUAUACACACUUUUUCUUAUUUCAUUUCGGUCACGGGGAGGGGCGGUUGCUUGUGGGCGUGCCUCAUCCUGUCCAAUGCGUACGACGUAAAAAUUUUUACGCAUUUUUGAUUUAUGGGCCCAGCACAAAUAAAUUGUCGACGUUGUCAACUGUAUAUUGAAAAUGCAUUGGGCGCCGAACGGAAAAGUUGCCAAGGGGAAAGGAAGCUGGAAAAUAUGAGAGCCAAAGCCAGCGAUUCCCCCUCAGCAAUCUGGGCAGUAAUGUUAAUGAUUAUGGUCGGGAAUCGAGGUAACAGCUGUAAAGUUGUUGCCGAAAUAUUAAACCAGAAAAUGGAGAUGGGGCAUUUGGGGCCAAGCACCUGUGGUUCACAUAUGCAGCAGCCCAGGGGUCCAAAAAACAAGAUGUGGAUUCGAACGAGGAGUGCUCUGGCUGUGUUGGCCAUUAAAAGUUCUUACAAUGCAGACACACGCACUUGGUUGAGGCGAAAAAAAAAAAAAUGGUGAAAACUUGGGGCAAGGCAAAAAAAAAAAGGUUUGGGCCAAGUAACGUGGCACUUUUCACAACACAACGGCUACUUGCCCGUAGCUCACUUUUUGCUCUUUUCCUGAGGUUUCGUUCGGUUGGCAGGGCCCACAGUGCGCAUACUUGAUGGGCCUCAGCCAUCGUAGCUCCCGUGCCACAUUUUUUUUUUAGCUAGCUAGCAUCCCCUUCUCCCUUGAUGAUGGAAGACCACAACACAUGCGAACUAAAGUUGCUCCUGGCCAGAGGUUUACGGCUCCCCUUCCGUUGGCUUCUUCGCUUGGUAACAAGUGGGACACGUCAAGUGGCCCUUGAGCUUGGCUUCGCUGCCUUGAAACAAGUUUAAAUUGAAGGGGAAUGGAAUAAGCUACUUAAAAGUGUCUGUGUUCUUAGGAAAUGGCCAUCGGCAGUUUAAGGGAUUUCCGAGACAUAUUGAGUGCAAAUGCAAGCUGAUAAUUCUUAGUGAGUAAGAAGUACACUUCUCGCUGAAUAAGUGUAUGUAUAAGUUGAAUAUUUUUAUAUUAGUCUUCCGCAUCCAGCUGCAGUCUAGAAAGCAGGUUUACAAGCUUACAAGCUCUAAACCAUUUUGUAAUGUGAAUUUAAAGGGAAGGAACGUAUCUAAUAAUAGGAUGGAAGAACAUAAUCCAGGCAAGACCUUAUUAAAGUUACAUUGAAGCCAUCUCACAUCUAACUAACGAGGCAUCCAUUUUGGCCUGCAUGUAUAGCUUACCCAGCUAGCUCCAACUCCCAUAUUCUCCACCCUCUCACAUAUACACACGCACUUACAUGAGGGUGUCACACACAUGCAGAGACACUCGAAAAAAAUGAGGACGGACGGACGUCGGCUGACGUUGCUGUGACAGCAGAGAUAACGCAAUAACAACAGCAGCAAUGCCAAUGCAUGUGGCAAGCAAAUGACCAGCAGCAGGACCUCCCUCACACACACAAACAUACAAGUAUACACACGCACGCAGGCAGGACGACCCGCUGAGCAUGUGAUCUAUGCCUAUCUGAUGUAUUUUAAUGGUGCUCACAUAUAUUUUUCAUUAUUGCCCUGGCUGCCUGUUGACCAGCAGGCAAACGCUGUAUGCAAACAAGAAGUGUAUCGACAGUAAAGUUACCCCUUGAUAGAUUAUAACAUACAUUUUCAUUAAGAACAAAUGUAAUUAAAACAUAGAUUGGGAAAAAGAACACAUUCAGAAGUUCAGACGUAGUAACUUCAAUUCUCGUUAGCCCCACUUUGCUCCGCCUUCGAUUUGCUUUCCCUCCAUCCACUCCUUUCACAUUACGUAUACGCAGUGUCCGUUUGCUCCCCCUGUAGCAUGGACCAACAAUUUAUUUCUAUACACCAGAGGCCGCGACUUUUUCCAGCUGCCAUGUGGAUGUGGAUGCAACGCAUUGGGGCCGCCGGCAAAAAGCCACCCGCACCCAAAUCCUGACCCAGUCCCAGUUCGAAUCCUAGCUGCGUAGCCUCUCGUCCUUUUUCCUGCCCAAUCCCUUUAGCUUUGCUUUUUUUUUUCGUCCUUUAUCUGGUCGUGCUGCGGCAUUUUGCGUGAUGAUAUGCGAUGGAGUUUGGGCGGAGACUCAUACGGGCAGAUAUUUUUUAUGGCCCGUGGAGAUUGCAAUUUGGAAAUCGAUAAAUUGCAAUUAAUUUAAUGGUCACAGCGACAAGCAGCCAAAGGAGCAAGGAAACAAUGCGGAUAUUAAAUAAAUCAUGAACGCUGCAGUGGAAUGUUGUGAUAUUAAAUUCACAGUUCUAACCUUAAAAGGAAAGCUACUGAAAGCAGGACAUCCACCUGAGUGGCCACAAAAAUGUGGUUGUCAUAGAAAGUGGCCAAAAAUUGGAGGAAGGACAACUAAUCAAAGAAGGCAAAAGCGAAGCUUGUGAAUUUAAUUGAAAUAUAUAUAAAAUCCAAACUUAAUCUGUAAUGCAGCUCAAGUCUGGAGGUCGCCAAGUUUUAAUUAAAAUUUCGCUGUGACCGGGAACAUAUUUCCCAAAUGCAGCAAUGAAAAAACACUUUCCACAUUCCUUAUUAUAGAAAAUUUACACCGUCGCUGGGUAUUUGCAUAAUUUCCACCACCCACACACCCACUCACUCACCGAAACCAGAUCGACUGGGAUUGCUGAUUAGCAGUCCCCAAACACCAUCCCCUUUCCAUUUUCCACCCCCUUUCGUUUUCCACCUUGGUAACUGCGGUCCAGCCGUCCAGCAUUUAAUUACCUUGGAGAAAAAACGUGGAAACCGAGCUACGGCGAGCUUCAGGUGAGGGAAAGGAAAAGCGGGCAAAACGACAGCGGCAACAACAAGGCAUAACCUAAUUUUCUCGAGUUUCCCAAGCAACGAGAUGUGGCCAGCCAAAGGGAAAAACCAACCAAAGUAGAGGGUCCGCCGCCUCGGCAUUCCAGAUUUGAAGCUCUGUUUUCUGGCCAAAUCUGUGAAACAGUGUGUUUUAGGGUGCUGAAAAUGCAAAUGCACCGAAUGAAUAUUCAACAGGAGUUGGUCUGUGUUUUUGGGAAAUGAAAUCAAACAAAAAGUGAUUGAAGGAAGUUCGCAUUGAAGGGAAAACAAAGGGAGGAUUAGAAGAAUGAUCAGUGAACAAUACAAAUCAGUGGAAGAGAUAAAAGGACAGGGAAUCAAAGCGUCGAUUAAUACAAAUCAGAAAGGUAUUGUCAUAUUAAUAUAAUUAUAUAGGAUAUAUGAGUGCAAAACUACAGGGAAUAAGCACUCGUAACCCUUGACCUUCUUUGGUGGAAUACCCACCCACACUCCCGAAAAACAAACGCACACAUUCAACUCUGCAUUAUGUCCUCGUGCUCUACGCACAACAAAGGACAACAACGGCGAACAACGAAAUAGAAACAAAAGCUACAAACAAUGAUUUUCAUGGUACGUAAAAUUAAUUAGGGCACUGAGACAAAAAUCCUCAAAUUUCAAUUGAGCCGCAGCCCGUUGUCGAUGGCCAGUGGGAGCGAAAGAGACGGCCGUUGCGUUGGAGAAAGAGAUGGGGAUAUGCACUGAAAACAAGGCGGCCCAACUAAAAAUACCAAGGAUCCAAGUGAGGGGGGAUUGAGUGAGGGGGCGGGGGCGGUGUAAGGAGCUGCUGGGAAACAUAAUUACUCUGCAUCUGUGUGAGUUUCUAUGUUGAUGUGCCUGUGCGUAGGCUGAGCACCCUGCACUGAGAGAAAUAGUAUGCAUAAAUCACUAUUGAACUUAAGAAACUCAUUACAUCAAGUUACUUUUAUGUUGCUUUGUUUUUUUUUAUGGAAGUAUCAAAUUACAUAUUUUGCCAUUAAACUAUAUGUACAUGAGUUUUUUCUCUGAGUGCACUGUCUUCUCAAUGCAAGCCGGCUCUGCUGCUCCUUGUGUUUCCUGUCUGCGUCCCUUCCCUGGCUACGAUUAUAUAAGCCUAAAAACUUGUACAUGGCAUUGGGGAUUUUCUAUGUGUUUGUGCGUCUGCAGUUGUGUUGGUGUUUGUUAUCAGCCCAAGAGCAAUUACAGCAGCAGCAGCAACAACAACCUAAGUCGCAGCAUCAAAGCUCGAGGGAAAAGCGAAAGGAAAAGCGAAGACUGCGGAAAACUCGCACAGCGUUUUCAGCUAAUAUAUAAUUACAAAUACAUUUAAUCCUGACGGUUUUUUAAUUGUCCUCGGUUUCGCAGAUGGAAGGGUUGAGAUCAAAAGGUGGAAAGGGGAAAAAGACAGCAGGCUGCGUUGUGAUUGACAUUUUACGUGAAACUGAAAGUGGAAAGUCGGGAAAAGCUGAACUGUCGGGUUGUCAGAUUGUUGAGGGGAGGUAACAUUGAAUGCCAGAGGCGAAAUGCAUAUUUGUACAAUUAAUUAAAGUAUAGCAUAUAAAUAAAUAGAAUUCCACAUAAAUAUUAAACUCACUAUAUAAAGGACACAAGCAUCUUAUAUUAACUAUAUUUUAAGUAAACUUUAAAAUCACAUUAUUUCCUACAUAAAUUUAGUGGAGCUACCAUUAAAGCUUUAAAAUUGCAAUUAAUUUUCGAGUUAACCAAGCCUACAACUCAUUCCGCUUGGCCGCAAGGAAGGCACUUUAUUAGAAAACCGUAGAAACUGUUUGGAAAAAAGCAAAGAUGGCGGCGGAGAGGAAACGGAAGUAGAUGAGGGAGAACUGACAACAUAAAACCUCAAACCUCAAAGAGAAUUUUCAGCGCUUCACGGAAACCAGAAAAAAAUCCCAAGCCAGGAAAAACUUUAAACUAACGCACACAAUCACACUCACAACUAUGCACUGCAGGAAAAGCCUGAGAAGGUGGGGAAAACACAGUCAAGAAGCAGCAGGCGACCCACAUUGAUAAAGGCGAAAAACAGCCGAAGGCGGAAAAUGCCAACAAAAAGAAAGCCGUGGGCCGGGGAAAAUGUUUUCGCUUUUCUUGCAUUUCCAGCAGAGGAAACAACAAAGACGGCCAACUACGCACUUUGCUGAAUAGCUGGCCUGCAACACGAGCAAGAAAAAGAAAAGAAAAAGGAAGAGAAAGAGAAAGAAGGGAAGUUGGCAGUUGGAGGACCAAGGAACCCAAACUUCUAUGUACCACAACUCCUACUCGCAGCGCUACAUAGUAUGUGCCACAUAGAGCAACCGAACCAAGAAAAACCGCAGUGGAGGCAACGUCACUCACAUAGCAGUGGAGAGAAUAUGCGUGAUACACUGCAAAAAAAUAAGUGAUUAAUGUUUUAUUGAUGAUCAUAUUGCCUACUACCAGGCGAAGUUUCUUCAAAAUAAUAUUAAGCAGGCAAAAGAAAACCAAUUUGGAAUCUUUGUAUCUUAGCCCAGUAAAAAUUGUAUUUCUAAAGUUGCGAUUAUGCCAUUAUCUGAAUUACUCUAAAAUAUUAAAAUUUUAAUUUUCCAUUGGGCAAGCACCUCGAUUUUCACUCAGCUUAUUAACUAUCGAUUAAGCCUUAAGUAAUCCGACAUUAUUUCACUAUAGCCCAGGCCAUUACGCAUCGGAAAUGCCUACACGAAAAUAUAUCAAAUUACAUUCUGUCACUGUACAAUCCCCCCAUCCAACCAAUCCACCCACAUUUCCCCCACUUUCCAUUUCCCUUUUCCUAGCAGCCCAUCUUGCCGCCUCCCCAUCCCCGUUCCUGUGCCCCAUUCCUUAUCCCCAAUUCAACCGCUGCACACGCACAAAGGCGCCAAAAUCACAAACGCAGCGAGUGGUCGACUGUUGUAAUGGCUGGGAGUUAUCCUGCCACCCACUUUUCCGCUCCCCGCUCCAUUCCCCGUUCCCCCAUUUGCUUUUCGUCCAUAAAGGACUGCAGUAAAUUCCAUGUCCCCCCGAAAGGUACACCCUAAAAUGGCCCCUUUCCUUGCCGCCGCCAAAAGAAAGUUUUAUAUAGGCGCCGGCGCACGCACAUCUGGCCGAAAUAUAUGUAUUUCCAAGUACAUAAAAGCUGCAACCGAAAAAAAAACAUUUGCGGAGGUGGCUUGGGGAGGGGGGGGGGGUUUGGGCGGUGUGCUAAGUCCCCCACUCAAACCCGGCAACCCGUGUCAAAGUCAUCCUCCCCAG